UCAUUAGUCGCUGAGUUUAAGCAUAUCAAUGAGUGAAGGAAAAGAAACUUAUAAGGAUUACCUUAGUAAUGGUGUGCAAACUGGGAAUAGCCCAGUCUUAGAAUAGGGUGGCUCUGUCAUCCGAAUUGUAGUUUUGAGAAGUGUCUCAGUGGCAUACUCAGCCUAAGUUUCCUAAAAAGUGGAACCAAAGAGGGUGAGAGCCCCGUUGCACCCGAACCGUAUCACACCAUGAGGCGUUGUCUACAAGUCGGGUUGUUUGGGAAUGCAGCCCAAAUCGGGUAGUGAAUUCCGUCCAAGGAUAAAUACGGGUGAGAGACCGAUAGCGGACAAUUACUGCGAGGGAAAUAUGAAAAAGAAUUUAAAAAGAGAGUCAAAGAGUGCUUGAAAUUAUCAGAACAGAAGAAGAUGGGGGACGGCGAUGCACCCCAGUCGGAUGUGGAACGACGAUGAGCUGGUCCGCUGAUCGACUCGGGGCGUUGACCUGUGUGGAUUGGGGGUGUCCAAAUCCUAGGCUCUCGAUACGUUUAUGGAACGCCAUCUGCUCGAUUAUGGCGGGCAGCACGCGUCUCUGGCGUGCUUCGGCAUCUGAGUGCUACGGAUGCUGGCCUGUGGGCUCCCCAUUCGACCCGUCUUGAAACUCGAACCAAAGAGUCUAACAUGUGUGCAAGUCAAUGAGUGAUUAAACCCAUUAGGCGCAAGGAAGCUGAUUGGUGAGAUCCCCCUGUGGGGUGCACCGUCGACCGACGUUGAUCUUCUGAGAAGGGUUCAAGUGUGAGCAUACCUGUCGGGACCUGAAAGAUGGUAAACUAUGCCUGAGCGGGGUAAAGCCAGAGGAAACUCUAGUGGAGGCCCACACCAAUACUGAUGUGCAAAUCAUUCGUGUUACUUGGUUAUAGGGGCGAAAGACUAAUCGAACCGUCUAGUAGCUGGUUCUAUCCGAAGUUUCCCUCAGGAUAGCUGGAGCUCACAUGCAAAUUCUAGUAGGUAAAGCCAAUGAUUAGAUGCCUCGGGAGUGCAACGCCCUCGACCUAUUCUCAAACUUUAAAUAGGUAGGACGGAGCGGCUGCUUUGUUGAGCUGCACCACAUAAUUAAGAGCUCCAGGUAGGCUAUUUUUGGUAGGCAGAACUAGCGAUGCGAGACGAACUACAAGUCAGGUUACGUUGCCAAAAUGCACUCUAACCUUGAUCGCACAAAGGGUGUUGGGUGAUUAAGACAGCAGGACGGUGGUCAUGGAAGUCGAAAUCCACUAAGGAGUGUGUAAAAACUCACCUGACGAAUCAAAUAGCCCUGAAAAUAGAUGAAGCCUAAGCGCACGACCUACAACCAGGCUUUGGGGCAAUUUCCAAUCCCAGAUGAGUAGAAGGGCGCGGCGAGCACUGCAGAACCUUAUGCGUUGGCUCGAGCUGAACGACCAUUGGUGCAGAUCUUGGUGGUAGUAGAAAAUAUUCAAAUGAGAACUUUGAAGGCCAAAGUGGGGAAAGGUUCCAUGUGAACGAAACUGACACAUUUGUUAGUCGAUCCUAAGGGUCGAGGGAACCCCGACAGAUAGCGCGUUUCGCGCGUACUCUGAAAGAGAAUCGGGUUAAAAUUCUGGAAUCGGGAUGUGGCGGUCAACGAUAAUGCUAGAAAAUCCAGAAACAUCGGUGGGAGACUCGAGAAGAGUUAUGUUUUCUAUUUAAUAGCCUACCCACCCUGGAAUCAGCUCAGUUAGAGGUAGGGUCCAGCGGCUGGAAGAGCACCACACGUCACGUGGUGUUCGAUGUGCUCCCGGCGUCCCUUAAAAAUCUGGAGGACCGAAUUCUGUCCAUGCCCGGUCGUACUAAUAACCACAUCAGGUCUCCAAGGUGAACAACCUCUAGUCGAUGGAACAAUGUAGGCAAGGGAAGUCGAUAAAAUAGAUCCCUAACUUUGGGAAAAGGAUUGGCUCUAAGGGAUGAGCACGGGGGUCCCAGUCCCGAACCCGUCGGCUGUCGAUGGACUGCUCGAGCUGCUCCUCCGGCAAGAGCGGGUCGCUGCGUGCUAAAUGGGGGACGGAAUGGGAAUGGUUCCUUUGGGGACCUUCCCCGCGCAUCGAACUGCCAACUUAGAACUAGUAUGGAUAAUGGGAAUUCGAUUGUUUAAUUAAGAGAAAGCAUUCCGAUAGUCCCAACGGAUGUACACGCAAUGUGAAUUUUGCCUAGUACUUUGAAUGUAAAAAUGAAGAAAUUCAACCAAGUACGGGAAAACAGUGGGAGUAAAUAUGACUCUCUUCAGGUAGCCAAUUGCCUCGUCAUCUAAUUAGUGAUGCGCUUGAAUGGAUUAACAAGAUUUCCACUAGUCCUGUCUACUAUUCAGCGAAAGUACAUCCAAGCGAAUAGGCUUGGCAGAAUCAGCGGGGAAAAAAGAUCCUGUUGAGCUUGACUCUAGUCCAACUUUUGAAAUGACUUUAGUGGUGUAGUAUAAGUAGGAGCCGAAAGGCGAAAGUGAAAUACCACUACUUUUAACAUUAUUUUAGUUAUUCUGUGAAUCGCAAGCUGGGCACUGCCCCUCUUUUUGAACCCAAGGGUCGCUCUGUGGGCUGAUUAGGGAGGAAGACAUUAUCAUCUGGGUAUUUUGGAUGGGGCAGAACAUCUAUUAAAAGAUAACGCAGGUGUCCAAAGAUUAGCUCAACGAGAACAGAAAUCUCAUGUGGAAUAGAAGGGUAAGAGCUUAUUUGUUUUGAUUUCCAGUACGAAUACAAACCUUGAAAGCAUGGCCUAACAAUCUUUUAGACCUUCAAAAUUCGAAGCUAGAGGUGUUUGAAAAGUUACCAUAGGAUUAACUGGCUUGUGGCAGCCAAACGUUCAUAGCGACAUUGCUUUUUGAUCCUUCGAUGUCGGCUCUUCCAAUCAUUGUGAAGCAGAAUUCACCAAGUGUUUAAUUGUUCACCUACCCAUAGGGUAUGGGAGUUGGGUUUAGACCAUCGUGAUACAGGUUAGUUUUACCCUACUGAUGAUAGUGCCGCUAUAGUAAUUCAACCUAGUACGAGAGAAACCAUUGAUUCACACAAUUGGUCAUCGUGCUUGGUUGAAAAAUUAGUGGUGCAAAGCUACCGUGUACUGGAUUAUAACUGAAUGCCUCUAAGUCUGAAUUGGGGCUAGAAGCGAUGAAUGCGCCCGCCGUCUGCUUGCUGACCCGUAGUAGGGACCUUUGCCUGGCUAUGCCAUCCCAGCGAAAGGGUUGCGGUGGCCGCCUUGAAAUACAAUUUCCAUCGAGUGGCGGGUAAAAUCCUUUGCAGACAACUUAUAUAUGUGAUGGGGUAUUGUAAGUGGCAUACUGGCCUUGCUGCCAAGAUCUACUGAGAUUCAUCCCUUUGUCGCUCCGGUUCAU
This 3349-nucleotide ribosomal RNA is filed under the name Capsicum baccatum. RNAcentral's name for it is "bacterial LSU rRNA". It matches the Rfam family "Eukaryotic large subunit ribosomal RNA". The record is from RNAcentral. Lineage: Eukaryota; Viridiplantae; Streptophyta; Magnoliopsida; Solanales; Solanaceae.